RNA transcript from Perca flavescens (yellow perch), 5112 nucleotides. It is a transcript of the gene named tumor necrosis factor receptor superfamily member 14-like, with no coding region annotated. NCBI's taxonomy places the organism in Eukaryota, Metazoa, Chordata, Actinopteri, Perciformes, Percidae. The transcript is spliced from 13 exons. The record is from RefSeq and is a predicted model, not a curated record.
GCUGAGUGUCUUCAGAGGACAUACCCUCACAUGUAAUCCAACAGAGUAUCUGAACGGGGAUCAAUGCUGUCCUACGUGUCCUGCUGGAAGUCGAGUUAGAAAACAUUGCACAGAGUUUGGAAGUACUUCCUGUUUGGAUUGCGAUGAGGGAACAUUCAUGAAUCGUCCUACAGGUCUUACAGAAUGUUUUCCCUGUGCACGCUGUGAUUCAGGUUCUGGUUUAAAGAUAAAGACAGCAUGUAUGACUAAAUCUGAUACAUUUUGUGAACCACUGGAGGGAUUCUACUGUCUGUUCUCUUCAGAAAACAGCUGUGUGGAAACACAAAAACACAGAAGCUGUCAACCAGGACAAUAUAUCAGCCAAAAAGGAACAGCAUUAAGGGACACUGAGUGCUCUGACUGCAGAGAUGGAACAUUUUCCGAUGGGACAUUAUUGACAUCGUGUCAGCCACACACACAAUGUCAAUCAUUGGAUCUUCAGCUGAUAAAACCAGGAACUGCUUCAACAGAUGCUGAAUGUGGAGAACACAGUUCAGGAGCUGUGAUCGGUGCCGUUGUCGGGGGGCUUGUGACCUGUUUAGUCGGACUCGCAAUAGCUCUGUUUUUGGUGUGGCGUCUCAAAAAGAAGAAAGACACAGGUAUGAUUGGCAUUUAGACAAUUAAAAGAUUUAUGUUUUUUAAUACAUAAUAUAAUUGGCAGAACAUUAUGAUUGAGGUUUUUUUCAUUGGUAAUGUUUUGAUACAAGAGGAGGAGGAAAUGCAGACAAUCCCCAACAGGCUGAAAAUGAGCUUCCCCUCUUGGAAAGACCAGCAGCUGCCACUGUGCAAAAAGGAUAAACCACACCAUCCACAUGAAGAAGAAGAACAGUUGGGUGUGGUUGUGAUCAAUGAACACAGAGACAGUUCAUCGGACACGUCAGAGGAAAGUUCCAUGCAAGUCCCGGACUGAACAGCAUUAAGGGACACUGAGUGCUCUGACUGCAGAGAUGGAACAUUUUCUGAUGGGACAUUAUUGACAUCGUGUCAGCCACACACACAAUGUCCAUCAUUGGAUCUUCAGCUGAUAAAACCAGGAACUGCUUCAACAGAUGCUGAAUGUGGAGAACAAAGUUCAGGAGCUGUGAUCGGCGUCGUUGUGGGGGGGCUUGUGACCUGUUUAGUCGGACUCGGAAUAGCUCUGUUUUUGGUGUGGCGUCUCAAAAAGAAGAAAGACACAGGAGGGGAAGGAAAUGCAGACAAUCCCCAACAGAACUCCAUAAACAGUAAACAUCCACAUGAAGAAGAAGAAGAAGAAGAAGAAGAAGAAGAAGAAGAAGAAGAAGAAGAGCUGCAGGGUGGGAGUGUGAAAAUUGAACACAGAGACAGUUCAUUGGACACUGUAGAGGAAAGUUCCAGGUUCAAUGGAUGCUGACACAUUGUCAGUUGUACAUAAAUGAAUCUGUCCAAGGUGAAUUUUGGGCACUGUGCUCCAAAGUGAACACCUGCUGGUCUGCAGCCUGCAUCACUAUCUUCCAGAGAUGUUACUGGACAGAGACUAGUCAGUCUGGAAUAACAGCUUGGAGCAAGUCCCGGACUAAGUCUGUAACGGCUCCAGGCUCUUCACUCAGAACUUCUGCUCCAUCUCUCUCACCUGGACAUUUUGCUGCUUGUACAGUGAGCUCUCCUUGUGUGGAACUCCUUAAAGGCCAACAUGUUCCCAUCCCUGUCAUUCCAAGCCACAGAUCACCCAGACAUCAUGUGUCUGAAGGCAGGUAUCAUCAGAGAGCUAACACCUGGCCCCCCUGCCCCCCCGGCCUCUUGCCUCUACUGAAGCCCCUCCUCACCAAGCUUCUGUCAGGACGGCUCUGCUCAACGCUCGCUCCCUUACCAACUAGACAUUUCUUCUCAAAGAUUUGUAGGGAAAAUUUUGAUUUUCGGAUCUUUACUAAAACAGAGUAUUGGUCCAUCAUUGAACUUUGUCCUGCAGACUUUAACUUCAUCUAGGACACCGAGGCUGUCAGGCCGUGAUGGUGGUCUGGCAGUGAUUUUUAGAAAUGGUGUAGAAAUCGGUUGGCCUCUCAAAGUCCAACCCCACGUCCACUUCGUGAGAGGCGGUAACAGCUGUAAGUACGGGAUUGCAGGUACGGGUGAAGUAUGGAGGGAGGCCACCCGAGCCAUUACGGUAGCCGUGAAGGCCUUCCUGGAGCCACCCAGAAACACGCUGGCAAACGGGGCUCCGGUGAAGCUAGGUGGGCCAAUCACCCGCAUAGUGGAUAAACAUGAUUACAGAAACAUUCAUGGAUAACAUUCAGCAAGGUUUGGAAGUAGAAGGUGUCUCCCCCCAGACAAAUAUGACGCUGGAAAACUCAAGCCGGAAGCACGUUGUUCAACCAAAAACAAUCCAAAGAUAGGCUCAUGGAACGUUAGAACAAUGUACCAAGCUGGUAAAGCAUCUCAGAUAGCAGUGGGAAAGAAUCAGUCCAACCUGUCCCUAACAGGACUCAGUGAAACUAGGUGGACUCAAUCAGAAAAUACUCACCUUUCUAGUGGAGGAACAAUAAUAUAGGUGGGACAUGACCAGGAUAAUGCCCCACAUACAGAGGGAGGAAUUUCUUGAUAUUACUGAGCUUUAUGGUGUGGGAUUGAGUUCCACUCUCUUGACCUUCUGAUGGACCAAGCUGACUGACUGAAAGAACUUUUCUGCAACGAAAUAACCUAACCUUCCCUCUCUCUCCCCUUGUGACAUGAUCAGUAUCUUUUCUUCUGUUUAUGUAAGCAACAAGCUGCGAUGGAGCUAGGUUAUAAAUGACUUUAUAUACCAAGCACACCUUUACAUAUUUCAUUAGGUCUUUCCAGCUUAAAAUCUAGGUUUCAGUGUGCGGGGAUACUCUGGACUUAGUUUUUUCACACUGUUUUACUAUGAUCAUAAGUGUGUUCUUUAUAAUUUGUCUUGUUUUAUAGAUCUUAUUCCCCAUAAACAUUUUUUUUGCAGGCGCAUCAGAGUUAAUUAAUCAGAGUACAGUUGAAAAUUCCACUGCCUUAUUUGUCCCUGAGUUGUCAGACUGUAGUGAUGUGGGGACCCUGGUCUAGUUAUUGAAUCAACAUUGUUCCUCAGUUUUGGAUUCAGUGGCUCUGUUUCAAUCUGUUAAGUCUUCACCUUAGAUAUAUGAUUCAAUUCACAAUUUGGACUCCCUUUCUCCUGUUCGAUUAGAAGAUCUCCAAAUGUAAUUCUUAAUGAAAAAUGCGGUUGGAGUGAACAAAUAGAUUAUGUGUAAAAAAAAAAAGAAUAAUCUCAAAUUUUGUAGGAAUCAUUUGGAAAAUUGGUCCACUUCUUAAUAGAUCCUGUUUAUUGACAUGAUAUUAUAGUUUAAUGUAUCCAUAUCUUCCGUAUUGUAAUGUUGUAUGGGCCAGGACAUAUUCCAAAUACUUACACAAACUUAAUUUAAUCCAGAAAUGAUUUGUUAGGAUUGCUAUAAAUUUAAAGCCCAGGGAUCCAUCCUUUCUCUUAUUAUUUAAGCUUAAAAUACUACCUAUAAAUAACAUAAACAUUCUGCAAACAUAUAUAUUUAUCUAAAAGGUAAAAUACCAAAGCCACACUAUACCAGACCAUUUCCAACAAUGUUUCCAUAAUAGCACAAAUAUUCAUUCCAUGUUAACGAGACAAACCAGCCUGCUGUACCUUCCUCCUCCUCGUACCACCAGCAGACCACUUUAUAAAAUACGGAGGAGUUUAAUACCUACACCACACAUGCAACUCCUCCUCCCUACCUGUAUAUAAAAGAAAACUAAAAGAAAAAUUGUGCUCAGUGCAUAUCUAGCCUCCUGAUGGGCAGAUAUUGAAAUGAUUUACCAGCUUUAUGAACUCUUCUUCUGCUUUUAUUAUCUUAAUUAUUAUUAUUAUUAUUAUUAUACUUUAUUAGUCCCAUCACUGGGAAAUUUGUCUUGGACACCGUGCAUAGUCUAGUCAUGCAAAGCAACACGAUCAAAGUACAUAAAAACACAUGAUCAAAUACGUAAAAACACAAUAAUGAUAAAUCAUUCACACAAUACAGCAUCCAUUAAAAAAAAAAAAAAAAAAAAAAAAGACAAGAAGGCAGUUCACAGUAUUUCAUUUCUAUUUAGCGCCUUGAUUGCAUUAGGAACAAAGGAGUUUUUUAGUCGAUUGGACCUGCACAUCAAGACCCUGUACCUCCUUCCCGAAGGUAAUAAUUUAAAAUUGUCAUUCAAGAUAUGUGUAUCGUCUCUCACAAUUUUCUUGGCGUGAUUUAGAAUUGAAGCAUCAAAUAGCUCUUGGGGUGAUCGUUCCCCCACACCCCCUAUAAUUUUAAAAGCCAUGUGCACCAAUCGUCCCAACCUUGAUUUUAAUUGGACAGUCAAAUUACCAUACCAUGCCGUAAUACCAUAUCUAAUCAAACUCUCAAAAAUAGACUGGUAGAACAAAUACAUAAUUCUCUGAUUUACUCCGAACGCUUUUAACCUUCGUAAAAAAUAUAGCCUCUGCUGUAACCUGGAACAAAGAUUGUUGACAUGAGAAGACCAACAUAGUGCAUUAUCUAUAUAAACUCCCAAGUACUUAUGUGAAGGUACCUGUGCAAUGAUAUUACCAUAUAUCAUUACCGGACUAUGGUCUCUUACACUUCUAGGAUCAAAAAUGAUCUUUACAGUCUUGGCUCCAUUCAGUAUUAAGAAGUUAUUAUCGCACCAGCCAACAAAUCUGUCUACCUCAGAGAAAUAGUGUGAAACAUUAUCUUUCCUUUUUAAUAAGCUUAAAAUUGCAUCAGUCAUCAGAAAAUCUCCUGCCUUUGAGUGUAAUCACAAAUCCUGCUAUUUACCAAAUUGAGUUUAAACCUGUUACUCUCUCUAAUUAUGUUUGUUAUUCUACUUUUGCCAUAUUGAGUUAAUUUCAUGUCCUUUUUUAUUUUUAUUAUGUUUUUUUUUUUUUUUUAUUCAGGGAAGGUUCACUGAGAGUAAUCUCAAGUAAGCCUCUCUUUUGCAGGAACGCCCUGAUCACAUAGUAGUCGUCCCUUUAUUGUUGUCACAUAGUCACAAGUACCAGCGAAAUUAUCAAUCAACCUGACCAUACAUAUACAAACAUACAAUAUACAAUGGGGUAGACAGGACAGAAAGACAGGG